AUUGAACGCUGGCGGCAGGCUUAACACAUGCAAGUCGAGCGGGGUGAUGGUGCUUGCACUAUCACUUAGCGGCGGACGGGUGAGUAAUGCUUAGGAAUCUGCCUAUUAGUGGGGGACAACAUCUCGAAAGGGAUGCUAAUACCGCAUACGUCCUACGGGAGAAAGCAGGGGAUCACUUGUGACCUUGCGCUAAUAGAUGAGCCUAAGUCGGAUUAGCUAGUUGGUGGGGUAAAGGCCUACCAAGGCGACGAUUUGUAGCGGGUCUGAGAGGAUGAUCCGCCACACUGGGACUGAGACACGGCCCAGACUCCUACGGGAGGCAGCAGUGGGGAAUAUUGGACAAUGGGGGGAACCCUGAUCCAGCCAUGCCGCGUGUGUGAAGAAAGCCUUAUGGUUGUAAAGCACUUUAAGCGAGGAGGAGGCUCUUUUGGUUAAUACCCAAGAUGAGUGGACGUUACUCGCAGAAUAAGCACCGGCUAACUCUGUGCCAGCCGCCGCGGUAA
Molecule: ribosomal RNA, 503 nt
Filed under: uncultured bacterium
Lineage: Bacteria
Description: partial 16S ribosomal RNA
Rfam family: Bacterial small subunit ribosomal RNA
Source: RNAcentral